UGCGUAGGCGGUCAUCUAAGUAGGGUGUGAAAUCCCCCGGCUCAACCGGGGAACUGCGCUCUAAACUGGAUGGCUUGAGUAAGAUAGGGGUGUGCGGAACUUCCGGUGGAGCGGUGAAAUGUGUUGAUAUCGGAAGGAACACCAGUAGCGAAAGCGGCACACUGGGUCUUAACUGACGCUGAGGCACGAAAGCUAGGGUAGCGAACAGGAUUAGAUACCCUGGUAGUCC
Molecule: ribosomal RNA, 229 nt
Filed under: uncultured bacterium
Lineage: Bacteria
Description: partial 16S ribosomal RNA
Rfam family: Bacterial small subunit ribosomal RNA
Source: RNAcentral